RNAcentral lists this ribosomal RNA (254 nucleotides) under uncultured bacterium. RNAcentral describes it as "partial 16S ribosomal RNA". It matches the Rfam family "Bacterial small subunit ribosomal RNA", at positions 524 to 776 of the family's 1533-position model. The record is from RNAcentral.
CACGUAGGGACCAAGCGUUGUCCGGAUUCAUUGGGCGUAAAGAGCUCGUAGGCGGUUCGAUAAGUCGGGUGUGAAACCUCCAGGCUCAACCUGGAGACGCCACCCGAUACUGUCGUGACUAGAGUCCAGUAGGGGAGCGUGGAAUUCCUGGUGUAGCGGUGAAAUGCGCAGAUAUCAGGAGGAACACCAACGGCGAAGGCGGGUCUCUGGGCCGAUACUGACGCUGAGGCACGAAAGCAUGGGGAGCAAACAGG